This 1317-nucleotide ribosomal RNA is filed under the name Escherichia coli. RNAcentral's name for it is "partial 23S ribosomal RNA". It matches the Rfam family "Bacterial large subunit ribosomal RNA", at positions 1506 to 2801 of the family's 2925-position model. The record is from RNAcentral. Lineage: Bacteria; Pseudomonadati; Pseudomonadota; Gammaproteobacteria; Enterobacterales; Enterobacteriaceae.
CCCGGUUUAAGCGUGUAGGCUGGUUUUCCAGGCAAAUCCGGAAAAUCAAGGCUGAGGCGUGAUGACGAGGCACUACGGUGCUGAAGCAACAAAUGCCCUGCUUCCAGGAAAAGCCUCUAAGCAUCAGGUAACAUCAAAUCGUACCCCAAACCGACACAGGUGGUCAGGUAGAGAAUACCAAGGCGCUUGAGAGAACUCGGGUGAAGGAACUAGGCAAAAUGGUGCCGUAACUUCGGGAGAAGGCACGCUGAUAUGUAGGUGAAGCGACUUGCUCGUGGAGCUGAAAUCAGUCGAAGAUACCAGCUGGCUGCAACUGUUUAUUAAAAACACAGCACUGUGCAAACACGAAAGUGGACGUAUACGGUGUGACGCCUGCCCGGUGCCGGAAGGUUAAUUGAUGGGGUUAGCGGUAACGCGAAGCUCUUGAUCGAAGCCCCGGUAAACGGCGGCCGUAACUAUAACGGUCCUAAGGUAGCGAAAUUCCUUGUCGGGUAAGUUCCGACCUGCACGAAUGGCGUAAUGAUGGCCAGGCUGUCUCCACCCGAGACUCAGUGAAAUUGAACUCGCUGUGAAGAUGCAGUGUACCCGCGGCAAGACGGAAAGACCCCGUGAACCUUUACUAUAGCUUGACACUGAACAUUGAGCCUUGAUGUGUAGGAUAGGUGGGAGGCUUUGAAGUGUGGACGCCAGUCUGCAUGGAGCCGACCUUGAAAUACCACCCUUUAAUGUUUGAUGUUCUAACGUUGGCCCGUUAUCCGGGUUGCGGACAGUGUCUGGUGGGUAGUUUGACUGGGGCGGUCUCCUCCUAAAGAGUAACGGAGGAGCACGAAGGUUGGCUAAUCCUGGUCGGACAUCAGGAGGUUAGUGCAAUGGCAUAAGCCAGCUUGACUGCGAGCGUGACGGCGCGAGCAGGUGCGAAAGCAGGUCAUAGUGAUCCGGUGGUUCUGAAUGGAAGGGCCAUCGCUCAACGGAUAAAAGGUACUCCGGGGAUAACAGGCUGAUACCGCCCAAGAGUUCAUAUCGACGGCGGUGUUUGGCACCUCGAUGUCGGCUCAUCACAUCCUGGGGCUGAAGUAGGUCCCAAGGGUAUGGCUGUUCGCCAUUUAAAGUGGUACGCGAGCUGGGUUUAGAACGUCGUGAGACAGUUCGGUCCCUAUCUGCCGUGGGCGCUGGAGAACUGAGGGGGGCUGCUCCUAGUACGAGAGGACCGGAGUGGACGCAUCACUGGUGUUCGGGUUGUCAUGCCAAUGGCACUGCCCGGUAGCUAAAUGCGGAAGAGAUAAGUGCUGAAAGCAUCUAAGCACGAAACUUGCCCCG